This 3916-nucleotide long non-coding RNA is filed under the name Triticum aestivum (bread wheat). RNAcentral describes it as "long non-coding RNA (TAES_LNC008626)". The record is from RNAcentral. Lineage: Eukaryota; Viridiplantae; Streptophyta; Magnoliopsida; Poales; Poaceae.
UUUUUAUUACUCUCCACAUAAGCAAAUUUCUUCUCAUUCGGAAUAGUGGGAGUAUCAUAAGAGACUCGAAUACUAUAAAUUGUUUCCACAUUAAAUAAGUAAUGUUCAGAAAAAAGGGUAAUCAUAAUCAUGACAAGUUUUAUAAAUAUAAUCAUCACUACUUUUUAUAGCAUAAGUGUCAUCACAAUAAUCUCUACUAUUAAAGGGGGAUCGAACGUCGUGAUGGUUCGACAUCGUUCGAUCCCCCACCCCUCGUACGACAACCAUCAUGCGAUGGGCCACGCGUGUAGUAUCCCAAAAAUCAAAGGCCAACUCAGCCCACGUACAAGAUCCACAGCCAAAAAAAACAAUUCGGCUCAACCCACGAACGAAGUCCUCAACCCACGAACGAGGUUCAUCGAUCAACAAACCGGCCAACAAAAAAAACAGUUCAGCUCAACCCACGAACGAGGUCCAUCGGCCAAAAAUCAAACCACCUGCGACCUCCAUCGACCCACGAACGCACAUCCCCGGGGAGAGAAAUGCCAGUUCUUCCUCGCGUACGAGCUCCAUCGACCCACGGACGCACUACGCCAAGGAGAGAAUCGCCGGUUCACUCGCCGUCCGACCACAUCGUUCUCAUGCGAGCUGUGCGAGCGCAGCCUCUGCUGCCAUCAACCUCUGAUCUCCUCGCAUGCUGAACCGCAACCUCGACGCCCCUGAACCAGAACCUGCACUCGACGGCUGUUGCUGCGUCUAUCUCCUGAUGUCGCCGCUACAUCCUCCUGCCAUCAUCUUCACAGUUCUUCACCUACCGUCUUCUGCCUCUCCGAUGGCAAAAGGACUGAGAUCCACCUUUGUUAUGUUCAACGGUGCCCACCAUGCCCUAGGUUUGUCAUCCUCAAUUGUUUCAGCAAAGUUUUUUUACAUCAGAAAGAUACUAAACUCCUGUUCAGAACUUCAUGAUGCGACCUCAAAAAUAUAGUAGUACUCAGAUUGCAUCUUUAAGUUCUACUCCAAGUACAUUGAACAAAGCAUGCAGGAUUUUAAGCUAUGUACCAGCUACCAAAUUGUGAAGGUGCUUCAUUAGGCUCAUCAACUUCCGGGAAUUAAAUACAUGAAACAAAUGUAUAAUGUGUGCUAAUGUGGACGGGUGUGACAUGUCAUCUCAAUCUUGUCUUUGCAGCAAGGCCACUCUAUGCAAAUGAAUGAAAGCAAAUGUAACAAAGUUAAAAAAUCUAAGAAUUGAUGACGUGAGAUUGACAUGCUUUUCACCCAAUUUCAUAUUAUAGACAUCUAUUCAGUUCCCAGACUUAAGUUCAUAUUGAAGACCCCUGUUCCAUAAAGAAUAUUGCUAAAGUCCUCUUAAUUACAGUACAAUACAGUUACAAAUAUCAUAUCAUUUUUUUCAUGCAAAAAAUGCAGGUUUAGUUAAGAACUUAAAGCUUUUAUAGAACACAAAGAUGUCACAGGACAGAAGGCAUCUCUAUGACAAAGGGAAAAGAGGUAUGUAUAUGUCAAUCACAUGUAUGCACAUAAGGUAUUCAAUAAGCUUUCAUAACUUACCCUUCACUAAUCUUAUCAGUUGUUGAAUAUGAGAGGACACCGAGAUCACAACCCAGCGAUUGUCGGGGUGUACCUACCAGACCCGAUUUUCUCUCACGGUCAGCUCUACGUUGCAUUGUCUAGAGCCACCGCGAAGAGGAACAUUAAGAUUCUCGCCAUCAAGGACAACGGCAAGGGUAAAGGCAAGGGUAAGGGCAAGGGCAAGGAACAAAGCAAGAUUUCAAAGAAGCGAAAAAGAUUUGAACCCUUAUUAACGACCAUGAAGAACAUAGUCUACAAGGAAGUCCUUAGCACAUGAAGUCGCCGGAUCAAAUUAUAACAACUCAAGGUAAAGUAUGUUCAAUUCUGCAUUACAGCACAUAACUAUUGUAGAUCUUAAUGCACACUAACCUGAGUUUGUGAGCAUAAUCAGUCUUCAGAAACCAUGAAUAUUCCUUUCGCGACAUCUCCCCGUUCUAUACUUGGUAGAAUAUGCACCUGUUUAAGCUGGAAAUAACAAGAGACAGUGUGAAAUUGCAAACAGAUUAAGGAUGAAGAUGCUUGGACAGUGACUUGCUACAGAAGAACAAAAAUACUAAGGUGUCGUUUCUUUCUAAGGCAUACGCUUUUUAAUAUGGUAAAAACCUGAGGCAUCUAAUAUCAUAACAAUUAAAAAACCGACUUAAACUUCAGUUCCAUAGAAUCUCUCGUUGGAAAUACAUGGAUAAGGAACUAUGUAUCUGAUAAUUUAUGAAGAACCCAAAUUCGAGCUGAGUUUGCCAUCAGUGAGCUCCUCAUGUCUCUACUAUUAAAGGAUGAGUCUUUCAAGACAAUAGAAACCUCGAUAUGAACAAAAGGAACAUAAUUUGUUCAUCUGCUCUUUUUCUGUAGCUUUGUGAUUAGAUUUAGCACGCAUGUGUCCUUAAAUUCAGGCCUCAAAAUUCGUUGCAGAUGGUGAUUCCAAAGUGCCAAGUACAGGAUUAGAAACAUCAACCCUUAAGCUAUUCAGAAAGAGCAUUGUGGUGACUGGAGAAUGAGUCAUAUUAGACCCUGAAUACAAACAUCGCUAACCUGCAAAAUGGCAAGGACCUCGGAAUGGAAGCUUUGGCCAAUACCACAAUAGCGCGUUAUGCUGAGCUCAUUUGCAAAAAGAUGCAGACCAAGCUUUGCGUUCGUUUUUUACAAUUGGUACAUCAGUAUGAAUGUGACCAUUGGACAGUGCUGACUUUUAUGUCAGGUUACCUUGCAUAAAUCUUUAUGAUUCCCCCAUUGUGUUUUGCUUUGUUGAAAUGCAUUGUGUGUGUGUACAAUUAGAAUUUGCUCAGGAUUGGAAGGUCAACUCUCCAGGAAGAGGAAGCUAAGCCUCCUUGACCAGACUUUUUUUUUCUUUUUUUGAAGUUUCAAGCCAUGCCUUUUUCAAUAGGGACAGCUAAAAUCGUUUAUAGAAAAACUAUUAAGACCCACUUUUCCUGUUGUACUAAAACGAAGUUUUAGUUAUUUCUGCCCCUAAAAAAACUAUUUUUUGGUACGCUAACUCAUUUCAGGUGGUUAGACCUUUAAACGAGUUUAUGGGAAACAGAACUGGCAAAAACUCCGUAUCCAGACAACCCAAGAAAGGUUUUAUCCUCAUCUCACAGAAUAAACAACUUAAUCACAACCGUAUACCAAUUACUACUCAUCUAGCUAUCCUUCAAACUGUGUAUAUAUAAGAUAGAUUCAAUCUACCUCCAGAUUUUUGUUUACCUCUAAGAUCGAAUUUCACCGGCGGUGCCAAUCCAACAGAGCUACCAAUGCAGGACGCGGAGGGAGAGACGAGAGCCGACCGUGACAAGGUAAGAUCCGUGGGCACCCUGAUCCUGACGCAUAGGGAGGGGAGCAGAGCUCGGUGGCGAAGAGAAGCCGUCGGCAUCGUGCUGCACCACGGAAUCUACUCCUCAUCGAUCUCCGCCCAUCCGGCCGAGCACAGUUUGCGGCAGGGUCUCCAAAAUGAGGAGCCCGAUCCUGCCGGUGGAUGCAGAUCGAGCCCACCUCGCGCUGCACGGCGCGCGCCAGUCGCCGCGCGUUACCACCUGAUGAUUCGGACCGGCGUGGCUUCAUCGCGGCGGGGGCGCGGGGCAGGGAGCGCCGCGCGGUGGAUGCCCCCGCCCAGACUGCGUGCGCGUCUGCCUGCCCCCGAGAUCUCGCCGGACAGCUGGGAGUGAUGGGGGCGCGGUGUGGGAGGCUCGCGACGGCGCAGGUAGGCUGCAGGGACGGUUCGGAGGCGUGGGGUGGGAGGUUGGGCCGGGAUGGGUGCCGUGCGCCAUGAUGCGCCGGCGGCUGCACAGGGAGCAGGGUGGGUCAUGGGUGGAAUGGGAAAGGGGUCAGCAGCGAGGAGAAAGAGACUGACAGUGCU